CUGCAAGUAUUUCAUCUCUUAAAAAUUUUUUUUCAGACCCAGUUUCUGACAAAAAACUUGGGCCUGCUAAAGUAUUUCUUGGACAUUGAAGUUAUAAGAAGUAAAAUAGGCAUCUUUCUGUCUCAGCGAAAAUAUAUCCUUGAUCUUUUGGCAGAAACUGGGAAAUUAAGUGCUAAUCCUUGCAAUGCACCAAUGGCCCCAAAUUUGCAAAUGCAGCAGAGGAUGAUAAGUUGUUUGAAGAUCCAGAAAAGUAUAAGAGGCUAGUAGGUAAACUAAACUACCUUAUAGUAACUCGUCCUAACAUUGCAUAUUCAAUCAGUGUGGUAAGUCAAUUUAUGUCU
Molecule: unclassified non-coding RNA, 341 nt
Filed under: Hevea brasiliensis (rubber tree)
Lineage: Eukaryota; Viridiplantae; Streptophyta; Magnoliopsida; Malpighiales; Euphorbiaceae
Source: RNAcentral